Molecule: ribosomal RNA, 441 nt
Filed under: uncultured bacterium
Lineage: Bacteria
Description: partial 16S ribosomal RNA
Rfam family: Bacterial small subunit ribosomal RNA
Source: RNAcentral
CCUACGGGUGGCAGCAGUGGGGAAUAUUGGGCAAUGGGCGAAAGCCUGACCCAGCAACGCCGCGUGAAGGAAGAAGGCUUUCGGGUUGUAAACUUCUUUUGACAGGGAAGAGCAGCAGACGGUACCUGUCGAAUACGCCACGGCUAACUACGUGCAAGCAGCCGCGGUAAUACGGAGGAUGCGAGCGUUAUCCGGAUUUAUUGGGUUUAAAGGGUGCGUAGGCGGAAUGCCAAGUCAGCGGUAAAAUCGCGGGGCUCAACCUCGCUCCGCCGUUGAAACUGGCGUUCUUGAGUGGGCGAGAAGAAUGCGGAAUGCGUGGUGUAGCGGUGAAAUGCAUAGAUAUCACGCAGAACUCCGAUUGCGAAGGCAGCAUAUCGGCGCUCAACUGACGCUCAUGCACGAAAGUGUGGGUAUCGAACAGGAUUAGAUACCCCUGUAGUC